UUAACGAGUAGCGUCAGGGCGAACUUUUACUCAUCUGGAUAAACACUGCACAUCCUGCACCUUUACUUUUGCAGCUCCAUUCUCGGUGCCACAAGGGUGUCCGGAGGUCGAGCUUCCGUUGCUCCAGGGCCACGGAGCCCUUUGACUGAUCUCGGGGAUUCAGGAGUGAUUUCCACUUCCGGGAGGUCCGCCUCUUAUUUUAGGAUCCGAGUUCCAUAGGCCGACCAGACUGCGCGCCGCAGUCCGACUGGACCCAACAACUGCUCCUCAAGAAUCCGCCACACCACAGUCUCUUACCCAUUCCAGCCUUUCUUGGAGGUUAAAGAAUGAAAUUACCGCAGUUUUGGGGGACCACGUUUAUUGGACCGGUGCGAGUAUCCUUUAGGGCUUAGGCUGUAAAUGUCCUUAAGUGAGAAGAGAAAAAAGCUGGAGCCUUCCUGGGCCCAGUGAGAUGUCACUAGCAGAUGCCAAGUACAGGUCUGGUUACGAUAUGGGCUGGACGGGAGGAAGCGACGGACUCCCCGGAUUGGGCCAGAAGAAGAAAGGCCCGCCCUAUGUGCGCCAGGAUUGGCUGAGUGCGAGCCGCGCUCCCCUCACUCCAGCAGUCAGAGAGAGAGAAGUGGGACGUUGUCACCUGGCUUCCGACUUCCAGCAGGUUCCUUGGAACAGUUCAGAAGGGUACGCUGUGUUCCAGACUCGAUGUAAAAUAGAUCUGGAGAGGCGUGCUCCAUCGUAACGGUGAGGGGGCUGCGGAAGAGAAGUGUCGCGGGGAGCGACUGAAGCUCUACAACCGGAAGUGUCAUCAGUGAGGCCCCGUUUCCUGAAGUGUGGCUAAACCUGAGAGCAACCGGAAAUGUGGUGCUGCCCUGGCUUCGGAGUCAGGAUCAGUUGAGAACAGGUGUUUAUGUAUCUUUAUUUCCCUCGGGCUACUAGAACCUCUCUGUGCGGAAAGCGUUGCAGGGUGCAGGGUUGUGCAAAUGGAGGCCAGCAGACUGUUGCCCUAGCCCCCCGGGGACGCGCAGGACUUGGAAGCCAUGCAGUUCCCUAGUGAGAAGACAAGAUGGUGGAGUUCCGUCGGGCCCACCAGAACCCGGACACGCGGACCUGGAGGAAACAGAUAUAUGCUCUCCUCUCUAGGGUCUUGGAAGACAAGCCCUGGGGGGUGGGAGGGGACAUGUUGGGCAAGGCAGAAGAGUAGUAGUAGAAGAUCAAUGAAGAGUCUUUGGGAACUCGGGGAAGUAGCUUGAACAGUAGCCGAGUCAGGAGCAGGUAAUAGUAGACUCAUUUGUGUAGUUUAAAUCAGUAAGAAAUUAAAAGGUAGUCAGUAGGUGUCCGCUGGGGAUCACCAAGUGCAGUUCUGUGGUCCUGGAAGAUGCAUGUUGUGGGGGAUCAAAUCUAGGGAGAGGGACCAUCUCUGUUAGUCCAGGAAAAUACCCAUUUUAGUACUGGAAGACCCUUUUCCCAGAAAACUCUCAGUUCUGGGCAAACCAUAAAGUAUUUGGUAUGAGUUCAGGUGACUGGCAAUCAACAAGAGUCUGGUUGGUGUCAGAGAGGGCCACUGGGGGCCUAAGGUAUUUAUGUUAAUGAACACCAAUAGGGUCAAAGGAGGAACUAUUUAGAAGUUAAGUGUUUGAGGGCACUUUGGGAUGGGAAAGGAAAUCAGUGGGGGAGUGCUGAGCACUCAGUGUCAAGCAUGGAACAGUGCAAGAACACUCGCCAAAGCUGUUGGUGGUUCAUGGUGGUAGUGAGGGUGUCAGGUUGCUUCAAAUGCACUCAUUUGACCUCCUUCAUAAUGAAUGAGAUCUCUCACAGGUACCUUUCAUAUCCAAAAUUGUACACUAAGUACGGAUUCUGUUUGUGGGUUGACUUUUAUGUUAGAAUCUGAGUUUAAUAAAAGCCCAAUGAUUGUUCUUA
Molecule: long non-coding RNA, 1914 nt
Organism: Cavia porcellus (domestic guinea pig)
Lineage: Eukaryota; Metazoa; Chordata; Mammalia; Rodentia; Caviidae
Exons: 2
Source: RefSeq, a predicted model, not a curated record